This 478-nucleotide ribosomal RNA is filed under the name uncultured bacterium. RNAcentral describes it as "bacterial SSU rRNA". It matches the Rfam family "Bacterial small subunit ribosomal RNA", at positions 28 to 523 of the family's 1533-position model. The record is from RNAcentral.
GACGAACGCUGGCGGCGUGCUUAACACAUGCAAGUCGAACGGUAAGGCCUUUCGGGGUACGCGAGUGGCGAACGGGUGAGUAACACGUGGGUGAUCUGCCCUGCACUUUGGGAUAAGCCUGGGAAACUGGGUCUAAUACCGAAUAGGACCAUGGACUUCACGGUUUGUGGUGGAAAGCUUUUGCGGUGUGGGAUGGGCCCGCGGCCUAUCAGCUUGUUGGUGGGGUAAUGGCCUACCAAGGCGACGACGGGUAGCCGGCCCGAGAGGGUGACCGGCCACACUGGGACUGAGAUACGGCCCAGACUCCUACGGGAGGCAGCAGUGGGGAAUAUUGCACAAUGGGCGCAAGCCUGAUGCAGCGACGCCGCGUGAGGGAUGACGGCCUUCGGGUUGUAAACCUCUUUCAGCACAGACGAAGCGCAAGUGACGGUAUGUGCAGAAGAAGGACCGGCCAACUACGUGCCAGCAGCCGCGGUAA